GCCAUGGUGGUUCAAUGUUAAAAUUACUACCUUCCAUGUGGAAGAGCCAGGUUCGAUUCCUGGCCAGAGCA
RNAcentral lists this transfer RNA (71 nucleotides) under Loxodonta africana (African savanna elephant). It matches the Rfam family "tRNA". From Rfam's summary of the family: Transfer RNA (tRNA) molecules are approximately 80 nucleotides in length. Their secondary structure includes four short double-helical elements and three loops (D, anti-codon, and T loops). Lineage: Eukaryota; Metazoa; Chordata; Mammalia; Proboscidea; Elephantidae. The record is from Rfam by way of RNAcentral.